RNAcentral lists this long non-coding RNA (659 nucleotides) under Numida meleagris (helmeted guineafowl). RNAcentral's name for it is "lncRNA (ENSNMEG00000020659.1)". The record is from RNAcentral. Lineage: Eukaryota; Metazoa; Chordata; Aves; Galliformes; Numididae.
AUCACAUUUAGGUGUGUGGCCUCGUCUGCUUUUAGUGGGGUUAGGUAUUUUUGUUUAUUCGGGCUUGAGGUAAUGUCAAAGUAUUGUUUUUCAAGAAUGUUUAAACAUUCAGACGCACUCACACACACCGCUCUUUAAUAAUCCCUUUAUCUGCCUGAAGCUGAAAUAACUUACUUUCUUGUAAGGAACUGUUAUUGAGAGUUACUUAUUACUAACUAGAUGCAGACAUUGAUUUCAUUAACGAAUAAGUACAGUCCCAAAGAGCUUUUGAUUUUUUUUUUAAUUGCAUAACAUGUAGAGUAUAAACACAAACUGCUUUUUUCAGAACUGUGCUUUUUUAAUUGCUUGAUUUAAAAGGAUUCCUGGAUCAGCAUUUUCUCUCAUUUUUUCUAGUGUAUCUCUGCAACUUCCAAAGCUGGCUGGAGCUAGAUAUGAGGUGUUUACAAGGUAACCACCAGAACCAGCGUAUUCAAAGCUACAGAACUGGCAGACAUCAGUAUCUAAUAGCUGGUGUCCUUCCUCCUUUCCUCCCGUUACAUACGCUCUGUGAAAUGGUGUCAGUGAAGACAACCAAGCCUGCUCUUCUUUUUCCCCAAGCAACUCACAAAUUAUUUGGGAAUCUCAGAGAAGCCCAGCACCAGACAUCAUUAAUUCUCUAG